CACGUAGGGGGCAAGCGUUGUCCGGAUUUAUUGGGCGUAAAGAGCUCGUAGGCGGCUCGGUAAGUCAGGUGUGAAACCUCUGGGCUCAACCCAGAGAGGCCACCUGAUACUGCUGUGGCUAGAGUCCGGUAGGGGAGCGUGGAAUUCCUGGUGUAGCGGUGAAAUGCGCAGAUAUCAGGAGGAACACCAGCGGCGAAGGCGGCGCUCUGGGCCGGAACUGACGCUGAGGAGCGAAAGCGUGGGGAGCGAACAGG
This 254-nucleotide ribosomal RNA is filed under the name uncultured bacterium. Its description in RNAcentral is "partial 16S ribosomal RNA". It matches the Rfam family "Bacterial small subunit ribosomal RNA", at positions 524 to 776 of the family's 1533-position model. The record is from RNAcentral.